Molecule: ribosomal RNA, 268 nt
Filed under: Mantidactylus femoralis
Lineage: Eukaryota; Metazoa; Chordata; Amphibia; Anura; Mantellidae
Description: partial 16S ribosomal RNA
Source: RNAcentral
UAACACUAUAAGACGAGAAGACCCCAUGGAGCUUUAAACCCAAUCAUAUUCCUAAUCCCUAUAACCAUUUAAUCUCUUAGGCCCUAUAUUCUUGGUUUUAGGUUGGGGCGACCACGGAGUAAAACCAAACCUCCAUGAUGUACGGAGCAACCUCCUUAUCUAAGAGCCACAACUCUAAGAAUUAGCACACUAUCAUAAAAUGACCCAUUAUUGAUCAACGAACCAAGUUACCCUGGGGAUAACAGCGCAAUCCACUUUAAGAGCCCCU